AGCGAACGCUGGCGGCAGGCCUAACACAUGCAAGUCGAACGGACCCUUCGGGGUUAGUGGCGGACGGGUGAGUAACACGUGGGAACGUGCCUUUAGGUUCGGAAUAGCUCCUGGAAACGGGUGGUAAUGCCGCAUGUGCCCUUCGGGGGAAAGAUUUAUCGCCUUUAGAGCGGCCCGCGUCUGAUUAGCUAGUUGGUGAGGUAACGGCUCACCAAGGCGACGAUCAGUAGCUGGUCUGAGAGGAUGACCAGCCACACUGGGACUGAGACACGGCCCAGACUCCUACGGGAGGCAGCAGUGGGGAAUCUUGCGCAAUGGGCGAAAGCCUGACGCAGCCAUGCCGCGUGAAUGAUGAAGGUCUUAGGAUUGUAAAAUUCUUUCACCGGGGACGAUAAUGACGGUACCCGGAGAAGAAGCCCCGGCUAACUUCGUG
This 433-nucleotide ribosomal RNA is filed under the name uncultured bacterium. RNAcentral describes it as "partial 16S ribosomal RNA". It matches the Rfam family "Bacterial small subunit ribosomal RNA", at positions 29 to 507 of the family's 1533-position model. The record is from RNAcentral.